AAUGUAAAACCUGUAAAAUGGAAAUUCUGGUCUUAUUUUUCUCUAAAUUUAGAGAUCUCAUUCUUAUCCUUUAGAAAGACCAAAAUCAUAUAGGAUGAACUAUUAGGUUCUGAAAAAGUCAACCAAUGGAAUCAGCUAGUCCACAGUUGGAAGCACAAGGGCUUAAAAGCUGUGGGAUACUGCAACUGUUAAGUCCUGCAGCUUGCAAGAGGAAGGGGGCAUAAUUCUAAGAAAAAUUAAUUCUAUUAUCAACAAGAAGGUCCAGCACUGAGAGAGGGGUACAUUCUUUCUAUAAGAACCUGAAGACACUUAAGUACAUGAUUCAGGUUAAGGAAAAUUGCUAGCUUUUCAUAUUUAGGCACUUGGAAUUUUAGGCAAGUUGCUUUUCAAGCGGCACUCUGUUAUACAAGUCCUUAGUGAUAUUCAAUACUCUAAGCCAUCAAGAAUGCACUCUCCAAUUUAAUAUUUAUGAUUAAAAUUUUCAUGAGUAAAAUUCUUAUUUCAGUAAAGAUUUCAAAUAUAUUUUAAGAGAAUUAUAAAAGUAUUCCUUAGUUCAAAAAAAAGAACUGUUCUAUUUUUUGAAUACUAUUAUCUCCUCUGUUCUCAAACUUUAAGUAAGACACAUGAGAUAAGGGAUGUGUGCUUACAAAUUCCUCUGAUCAUAUUAAGCAGACCCUAGACAAUAAUUCACCAUCAAUGUGAAUUACACCACUUACUGUACAUCUGAUGAAGGCACUUUGUUCCACAUUUAAUACUGAUCAAGUUACACACUUUUUCUGAUCUUUGUUUAAGAAACUACAAUGAAGAGUAACUGUGUUCUUUAGUUGCUUAUUAGAAAAAAAUGAAAAACUGUAAGAACGAUGAUGAUGUUUACUGUUUUAUAAUUUUGGACAGGCUCUGGUAAAAUAGUCUCCAUUUCUCUGUAAAUCAACUUUGUGCGAUAAAUGCCACUAUCAUAUAUUACAUCCAUGAGAAAAUGUGAAAAGGGGAUAACUGAAAGAGGAUCUUACUUUAUGAAAUAUAACACAGUAAGAUAGAUACAUUAGAAUGUUGUAUAUAAGAGUUCCCGUCAUGGCACAGUGGUUAACGAAUCCGACUAGGAACCAUAAGGUUUCGGGUUCGUUCCCUGGCCUUGCUCAGUGGGUUAAGGAUCCGGUGUUGCCGUGAGCUGUGGUGUAGGUUGCAGAUGUGGCUUGGAUCCCACAUUGCUGUGGCUAUGCAGGCUGGCAGCUAUAGCUUGGAUUUGACCCCAGCCUGGGAACUUCCAUGUGCUAUGGAUGUGGCCCUAAAAAGACCAAAAAAAAAAAAGAAAAAAAAAGUAAAAAUCUGAUUAGAAAUUAGGGUCUGUUUUCUUAUGUGACUUUUUAACCUUCUCAAAAAACAUUAAAUAAAACAAGAAUUCUAAAUCUCUUAUGAGCUCUAGUAUAUAGUGAUUAUACCUUUUUAACAUGACUAUUUAAAAAUCAACACUUAUAUGUUAGUACCAAAAUAUUACUCCAAAAACUUGGCCUUGCAAUUGCCUUCAUAGAGGUGGUGACAGAUUAUCAUUGUGUGUGUUUUCUUAUAUCAUUAAUGAAAAACAAUGAUAGAGUGAUAGCGAAUAGUAACAGUGAAUCUAAAGAAAAUUCAGGAGAUAUUCUAGGUUAAAUCCACCCUGCAGGCACUUAUUUGCGGUCCUAAUGGGCUUUAUGUGAUUAUCUUUUUCUGUCUUUAUCCCUCACUGCCUACACUGUGCUCCAUGAGGGCAGAGAUCUGUCUACAGUGCUCACCAGUAUCCUCAGGUCCUAGGACUCUGACGGAUAUGUCAUUGGCAAUUAAGAAAUAUUUGCUGAAUUAAAUUGUCUUGUGUCUCCAAUGGUAUGAUCCAGGUAUGUCCUCAGGGCUGGAACGCUGAGUGUUUCUAGGGAAGUAAAGUAGAGACACCUAAAAUACGAAUUAAUUGGACCCAGGGAAUAAAAGUAAAAAAAAAAAUUAAAAAAAAUUCCUUUGCCUAAAAGUCAUACUAUCCUAAGAAAGGAAGACAAUGAGUAGGUAACUACAAGAGUUUAAUGAGUGGUGUGACAAAUGGAAAAGAUACAAUUUCUCCUUAAAAGUGAAUGGACUUACAAUUAAACUCAAAUGCCUUCACAUGAAAACGUCCUACAUAAUGUAGUCUUUCUCUGUCCCCAUUUCAUGUCUUAUUCUCCCUCAUGCUCACUGCAUUUCAGCCACCCCAGCCUAUGUUCCUUGAAUUUGACAACCACACUCACACAUCAGGGUCUCAGCAAUUGCUAUUCCUCCUGUCUGGAAUCUCUUUUCCACAGACCUCUGUAGGUACUACUUUCAUAUUCACGAUUUUAGGUUGCAAAGAGGGCUUCCUUUAUAGCUCUGUCUCAAGAAGACUCCCAUGCUUGUCCCUAGGCACUCCUUUACAUGUCCUAUCUUCUUCAUAGCACAUACUAAUAUAUGAAAUUAUCUGUUUAAUGGCUCAUAGUUUAUCAUUUCCCCUUCGACUGCAAAAUCUUAAGAAGACAAACUAUCCUAGUCAUAGCUGUACUAGCUGUGGUUCAAUUCUCCUGAACUGAACUUGGCAUAUGAUAGGCAUGAAUUAAUAUCUGCUGAAUCAAUGAAUGGUAUAUGUAAGCACAGGGCACUAGAGAACAGUUAAAAAAAAAAAAAAAGGUUGUUCUUUGAAGAAUGAGAAAAGAACAGAGCUAAGAGCUGGAAGCCAAUUCCAAGUAAUAUUGUUUGGGCUCCUAAUUAAACCACACCUGAAGUCACAAUAACUUUUUUUUUUUAAUAUGACUGAAUACAUUUCCUUUUUGCUUAAUCCACUUUGGAUUGGGGUUUCUAUUACUUUACUAGCAAAUACAACUGUCAUUCAGUGAAGCCAUAAUUUGAAACCUUAGAAAGCUGAUUACAGUUGUACUUAAGAAUAUUGCCACCUUAAGAAUUACCCUGAAUAAAAGAGUGCCACCCCCUCCCUCAUCAGAGGCGACGAGGCAGAGGCAAGGUAAUCUUAUGACAGAGUUACUACAUGCUGGACUGAACACUUUCUGAAUUUCCUUCUUAAGCUUCUAUAAUUCUAUAAACAAAACAUCUUAUCCAUUGUGUUAAAUAAAUAUAAAUUCUGAAAUACUUUAGGUUUUGAACUUGUCUGCCUUCAGCUUAGAAGGUUAUAUCUCUCUAUUUUGUUGACUCCCACAUUUACCU
This 3192-nucleotide long non-coding RNA is filed under the name Sus scrofa (pig). RNAcentral's name for it is "lncRNA (ENSSSCG00050058155.1)". Lineage: Eukaryota; Metazoa; Chordata; Mammalia; Artiodactyla; Suidae. The record is from RNAcentral.